Molecule: long non-coding RNA, 597 nt
Filed under: Vigna radiata
Lineage: Eukaryota; Viridiplantae; Streptophyta; Magnoliopsida; Fabales; Fabaceae
Description: long non-coding RNA (VRAD_LNC003697)
Source: RNAcentral
UGAGAGAGAGGAUGAAGAUGAAAGAGAAACAAAUUGGAUAAGUGAGGAAGGUGGAUUAUGGUUAGGUCAAUAUUUAUGAUUUUUUUUUCAAUUGGGGCUACUGUAGGGAUGACAAAGAGAAACCAAUAAAAAAUUAACAUCAACAUCAUCAAUUAUUUUGUUAUUAGAGUGGAAAACAAAUAAACGAAUUGAACAAGAGCAACAAAUUAUGGUGUCGCGAGUUACUCUAUGUGGAUGAGAGAAAGGAUGAAGAUGAGAGAGAAACAAAUUGGAUAAGUGAGGAAGGUGGAUUAUGCUUAGGUGAGUAUUUUUGAUAUUUUUCAAUUGGGGCUACUAUAGGGAUGAUAAAGAGAAAGUUAGAGUGAGAAAGAUGAAAGAGAAAGUGUUGAGAGCAAUGAAGGAUGAGAGAGAGUGAGUAAGGGUUUGGGGAGUUUCUUAUUUUUUUUAGUUUUGAGAUUAAAAAUUAUUCAAAUACACUUAACCUUAAAACUUAAAAUUCGUAAUAUAUGAGGAUAUUUUUGUCUAAUGAAACUCAAGUACACAUUACUGAAAAAGAACAUACACACACACACACACACACACACACAUAUAUAUAUA